Molecule: ribosomal RNA, 464 nt
Filed under: uncultured bacterium
Lineage: Bacteria
Description: partial 16S ribosomal RNA
Rfam family: Bacterial small subunit ribosomal RNA
Source: RNAcentral
UGAACGCUGGCGGCGUGCUUAACACAUGCACGUCGAACGAUGAAGCCCAGCUUGCUGGGUGGAUUAGUGGCGAACGGGUGAGUAACACGUGAGUAACCUGCCCUUAACUCUGGGAUAAGCCUGGGAAACUGGGUCUAAUACCGGAUAGGAGCGUCCACCGCAUGGUGGGUGUUGGAAAGAUUUAUCGGUUUUGGAUGGACUCGCGGCCUAUCAGCUUGUUGGUGAGGUAAUGGCUCACCAAGGCGACGACGGGUAGCCGGCCUGAGAGGGUGACCGGCCACACUGGGACUGAGACACGGCCCAGACUCCUACGGGAGGCAGCAGUGGGGAAUAUUGCACAAUGGGCGCAAGCCUGAUGCAGCGACGCCGCGUGAGGGAUGACGGCCUUCGGGUUGUAAACCUCUUUCAGUAGGGAAGAAGCGAAAGUGACGGUACCUGCAGAAGAAGCACCGGCUAACUACGUG